Long non-coding RNA from Parus major (Great Tit), 1547 nucleotides. The record is from Ensembl. Lineage: Eukaryota; Metazoa; Chordata; Aves; Passeriformes; Paridae.
AUAUUGUCUGAGGACAGCCCUAAAUCCAAGAACAAAUCGUUCCUGUUACGUAUUCACAAUUUCUGGUUUUUUCUUCUCAUUGUGCUUCCAGCCAUCUCCCAGUAGAGCUGAGAAGAAAACCCCCACACAAAGGGAGGGACUGCACUGCAGGCAGGAUCUGCAGCCAGAUGGAGUCAUCCUGAUGUGAACCACCCGUCUGACCUUUGUGUAACUGUCGUGUUUGGCUACUGGCCUUUGAAGUGAUGGGAUAAGAGGUCUCCAAAAGGGGCAGGUAGGAUGAGGGAAAUAAAUGCUGCUGAGAUAUGGACUCAGUAAAUAACUUAUUUUUAAUAUCUUUCUCAUGUACAGUGUUCCUAAGUGUUGCUGCUCUCCAGCCUUUUCCUUUUUCCCUUGCUCAAGAUGGUCAGUGCAUAAUCCUUCCUGGAUUUUGGAGGAAAAGGCACAGCAGUUGUUUGCCUGAGCUCACAAUCUCUGUCUUCUGGUUUAGCUUCUCUUGAGAGAUCAGAUGAGAGAUUUGGGAGUGCUUGUCCUGAGACAGCCUAUGCCACCAGAUUCACAUCUCUCAAACAAUGCAACAUUUCUUUGGCACCAGGAUCAGAACAGAGACAAAAACCACAGAACGAAAACAGAGCUGGAGGAUCCCAGCCCCAAAUUCUUUGGCCACAUUCACGCUGAAAAUCUGGUCUGCAACAGGCUCCUGGUCCCUGGCUGAACCAUCUGGGAGGACCUGUCAGAAUGUGCCGUAGCUCUGGUUGGAGCAGGCACCUGGACUCCUCUUUGAGAGAAAGGUCAGUGUGUCGCCCUGCUAAGGUAGCAGGACACAGCCAAGGUGUGCACCUGGUGUGGGAAAUCAGAGCAAGGCUGGUGGCACGGGACGUUCCUGUUAGCAAGACUAAGGACAGCUGAUACUGAAUUUCUCCCUGGAGGUUCUUGGAUCAGUAUCCAGCCACCCUUUAGCUUUCUUUUGAUGGGCUAAAUGGACCAAGCUCCUUACAUCUCUCCCUGCAAAUCAUCUUUCACAAACUUGUGUACCCUUUUGUGCCUCUUUCUUGAUUUGUCUCCAGCUUUUCAACCUCCCAUUUGCUUUGUGGAUGCAAGAGCGGGGCACAAUGGGUUGGCAGCAGUUUCAGGAGAUGGGGAAUACCCAGACAACAUUAUCACCCUCUUCUCCCUGGAUUUCCUCUGCUUAUACAUACAAAGAUUAGCUCAGCAAGGACAAUCAGAGGCCAGGUCUCUACAUUUUUCCUCAGACCUAACCUAAAAGUGAGGCCUACAAUGAGAAGAGCCCCAUCUGAGCAGCUGGACUCCCUUUUUCAUUGAUGAUGGCAAAGAUUCACCCCAGGGGCAGUUCAUCCAAGCAGGUUCAGCACCAAAUUUAAGGUGAGAUGAACCACAUCCUUCCUGAACCUACUUCUCUUCUGUGAUUAAAUCAUAAACCAAAUCCACAUGUAGACACUUACUGGAGAAUUGCAGGCUGGGAUGAGAGAAGGAGAGAGAGAGAGAGAGAGAGAGAGCACCCAGGGAGAGAGACUGGGUGCUCCCUCAGG